Molecule: ribosomal RNA, 507 nt
Filed under: uncultured bacterium
Lineage: Bacteria
Description: partial 16S ribosomal RNA
Rfam family: Bacterial small subunit ribosomal RNA
Source: RNAcentral
ACGAACGCUGGCGGCGUGCCUAAUACAUGCAAGUCGAACGCUUCUUUCCUCCCGAGUGCUUGCACUCAAUUGGAAAGAGGAGUGGCGGACGGGUGAGUAACACGUGGGUAACCUACCCAUCAGAGGGGGAUAACACUUGGAAACAGGUGCUAAUACCGCAUAACAGUUUAUGCCGCAUGGCAUAAGAGUGAAAGGCGCUUUCGGGUGUCGCUGAUGGAUGGACCCGCGGUGCAUUAGCUAGUUGGUGAGGUAACGGCUCACCAAGGCCACGAUGCAUAGCCGACCUGAGAGGGUGAUCGGCCACACUGGGACUGAGACACGGCCCAGACUCCUACGGGAGGCAGCAGUAGGGAAUCUUCGGCAAUGGACGAAAGUCUGACCGAGCAACGCCGCGUGAGUGAAGAUGGUGUUCGGAUCGUAAAACUCUGUUGUUAGAGAAGAACAAGGACGUUAGUAACUGAACGUCCCCUGACGGUAUCUAACCAGAAAGCCACGGCUAACUACGUG